GCCUACGGGACGCAACAGUAGGGAAUCUUCCACAAUGGGCGAAAGCCUGAUGGAGCAACGCCGCGUGGGUGAAGAAGGUCUUCGGAUCGUAAAACCCUGUUGUUAGAGAAGAAAGUGCGUGGGAGUAACUGUUCACGUUUCGACGGUAUCUAACCAGAAAGCCACGGCUAACUACGUGCCAGCAGCCGCGGUAAUACGUAGGUGGCAAGCGUUAUCCGGAUUUAUUGGGCGUAAAGAGAACGCAGGCGGUCUUUUAAGUCUGAUGUGAAAGCCUUCGGCUUAACCGGAGUAGUGCAUUGGAAACU
Molecule: ribosomal RNA, 305 nt
Filed under: uncultured bacterium
Lineage: Bacteria
Description: bacterial SSU rRNA
Rfam family: Bacterial small subunit ribosomal RNA
Source: RNAcentral